CCUGAGAAACCCAAAAGAUCGAAUGGGGAGAUUCAUCGUCAGCUCAUUUUGUAUAUAUGCAAGUUGUGAUAUGGGUUACUACUUGUAGUAUUGCCUAUACAUUCUUGUAUAUUUAAUUGCAGAGUGUUGGUCGGCGUGCACUUCUCCCCUAGUAGAACGUCGUGACCCGUUGAGUUUUAUUAGUUAGUCUACGGCCCAGGUGAUAGUUUUUAAUAAAUGGGGUCUACUCUAUUUAUUGAAAAUCCUUGGUGUUACCCGACUAACACUUGGCGGUAUUCGUACGGUAUUAAGCCGCAUAUAUUUAUAUGCGUCCUGUCCAUCACAAGCGAGAUUAGUUUUACUCGAUAGUACGGACCUAGUGCCGUCGUUGGUACUAAUCAGCUGUUAGUUGUAUGGAAUUCUAGGACUGGCUUUAUUCAA
This 420-nucleotide ribosomal RNA is filed under the name Cyclaulax sp. 3. RNAcentral's name for it is "partial 28S ribosomal RNA". Lineage: Eukaryota; Metazoa; Arthropoda; Insecta; Hymenoptera; Braconidae. The record is from RNAcentral.